GUGGAUAUAGCUCAGUGGUAGAGUGCAUGCUUAGCAUGCAUGAGGGCCUGGGUUCAAUCCCUAGUACCUCCA
This 72-nucleotide transfer RNA is filed under the name Camelus bactrianus (Bactrian camel). It matches the Rfam family "tRNA". Rfam says of the family: Transfer RNA (tRNA) molecules are approximately 80 nucleotides in length. Their secondary structure includes four short double-helical elements and three loops (D, anti-codon, and T loops). Further hydrogen bonds mediate the characteristic L-shaped molecular structure. tRNAs have two regions of fundamental functional importance: the anti-codon, which is responsible for specific mRNA codon recognition, and the 3' end, to which the tRNAs corresponding amino acid is attached (by aminoacyl-tRNA synthetases). tRNAs cope with the degeneracy of the genetic code in two manners: having more than one tRNA (with a specific anti-codon) for a particular amino acid; and 'wobble' base-pairing, i.e. permitting non-standard base-pairing at the 3rd anti-codon position. Lineage: Eukaryota; Metazoa; Chordata; Mammalia; Artiodactyla; Camelidae. RNAcentral also lists the same sequence under 2 other names. The record is from Rfam by way of RNAcentral.